RNAcentral lists this ribosomal RNA (819 nucleotides) under uncultured bacterium. Its description in RNAcentral is "bacterial SSU rRNA". It matches the Rfam family "Bacterial small subunit ribosomal RNA", at positions 90 to 944 of the family's 1533-position model. The record is from RNAcentral.
GGGGAGUGGCGAACGGGUGAGUAACGCGUGGGAACCUACCCAGCAGUUGGGGAUAACCGCGGGAAACUGCGGCUAAUACCGAAUACGUCCUUAGGGAGAAAGAUUUAUCGCUGUUGGAGGGGCCCGCGUCGGAUUAGCUAGUUGGUGAGGUAACGGCUCACCAAGGCGACGAUCCGUAGCUGGUCUGAGAGGAUGAUCAGCCACACUGGGACUUAGACACGGCCCAGACUCCUACGGGAGGCAGCAGUGGGGAAUAUUGGACGAUGGGGGCAACCCUGAUCCAGCAAUGCCGCGUGAGUGAUGAAGGCCUUAGGGUUGUAAAGCUCUUUUACCGGGGACGAUGAUGACGGUACCCGGAGAAUAAGCCCCGGCUAACUUCGUGCCAGCAGCCGCGGUAAUACGAAGGGGGCGAGCGUUGUUCGGAGUUACUGGGCGUAAAGGGCGCGUAGGCGGCGCUCCAAGUUAGGCGUGAAAGCCCCGGGCUCAACCUGGGAAUUGCGCUUAAGACUGGAGUGCUCGAGUGCGGAAGAGGUGAGUGGAAUUCCCAGUGUAGAGGUGAGAUUCGUAGAUAUUGGGAAGAACACCAGUGGCGAAGGCGGCUCACUGGUCCGCAACUGACGCUGAGGCGCGAAAGCGUGGGGAGCAAACAGGAUUAGAUACCCUGGUAGUCCACGCCGUAAACGAUGAGUGCUAGACGUUGGGGGACUCAGUCCCUUGGUGUCGCAGCUAACGCAUGAAGCACUCCGCCUGGGGAGUACGGCCGCAAGGUUAAAACUCAAAGGAAUUGACGGGGGCCCGCACAAGCGGUGGAGCAUGUGG